AUGGCCGCCGGCGUGAGCAGGCUUCCGCCGCGUCUCAACACGCUUGCGGUCUUCUCCUCGCCGACGCCGAACCCCUUCGGCCCCAAUAAGCGCGUCGCCAGGUCCAGGCUCAGGCCCCCGCCAAUCUCCAUCUCCAUGGACCCGGCCCUCGUCGACCCGGCCCACCUCCAGGCGCUCAUGCUCGCCUGCGCGCACUCCUGCGCCAUCCGCCUCUCCCCGCCGGAAGCCGCCGCGCGGCCGGAGCCCGUCGACAUCCGCAAGCUCCGUACCGCCGUGGCGCACAGCUUCCUGGUCGUGUCCGUCUUCUGCGGGACCAGGUUCUUGGAGGAAGACGACGGAGGGGACGAUCGGCGCUUCAUGGGCCUGGAGCUGGACCUCGGGCUCGGGCGGCGUGGGGAGCAGCGGCUCGUCGGGUUCGGACGGGCCGUCUCCGACGUGGGGCUCACCGCCUCCGUCCAUGACGUCGUUCAUCCAUCAGUGCAGAGGAGAGGAAUUGGGCGCAAAAUACUUGAAAAAAUUACAAGGGUACUCCAUAGCAGAGGUAUUUAUGACAUUUCCGCAUUAUGCACAGGAAAGGAGAGGCCAUUUUUUGAAGCAUGUGGAUUCGGCGAUGAUGCAAUGGGUGCCACAACAAUGAUGUACACUAGAAACUUGUACGAAUAG
Molecule: ribosomal RNA, 663 nt
Filed under: Triticum aestivum (bread wheat)
Lineage: Eukaryota; Viridiplantae; Streptophyta; Magnoliopsida; Poales; Poaceae
Description: partial small subunit ribosomal RNA
Source: RNAcentral